RNAcentral lists this ribosomal RNA (253 nucleotides) under uncultured bacterium. RNAcentral describes it as "partial 16S ribosomal RNA". It matches the Rfam family "Bacterial small subunit ribosomal RNA", at positions 524 to 776 of the family's 1533-position model. The record is from RNAcentral.
UACGUAGGGCGCAAGCGUUGUCCGGAAUUAUUGGGCGUAAAGGGCUCGUAGGCGGUCUGUCACGUCGGGAGUGAAAACUCAGGGCUUAACCCUGAGCCUGCUUCCGAUACGGGCAGACUAGAGGUAUGCAGGGGAGAACGGAAUUCCUGGUGUAGCGGUGAAAUGCGCAGAUAUCAGGAGGAACACCGGUGGCGAAGGCGGUUCUCUGGGCAUGUCCUGACGCUGAGGAGCGAAAGUGUGGGGAGCGAACAGG